RNAcentral lists this long non-coding RNA (775 nucleotides) under Elaeis guineensis (African oil palm). RNAcentral's name for it is "long non-coding RNA (EGUI_LNC015811)". The record is from RNAcentral. Lineage: Eukaryota; Viridiplantae; Streptophyta; Magnoliopsida; Arecales; Arecaceae.
UGUGUGAAGAGUAUGAGCAACCGUUAUGUUGAAUGGAGCACAUCUGGAUUUUAUCAUGCAAAGCUUUCUGGUAUAUGCUUGGAAAUUUAUUAGCUUUUUCUUAUUCCUAUUAACUACGAAGGUAGCAUUUUCCUGAACUAGUAAUGUAUGUGAAGGCUUAUUUUUCCCUCGGAAGCAAGAGUAAAAUCCACUGAAGAGUAACUGGGAGGUGUCUUGGUACCUGAUCGAAGCCCUCCGAGAGGGCAUUUUGUCAAUAUGCCUGCGCUUGGUUGAUACGUCAAAUCUUCUAGUCAUGGUUAACUCAAUGGUCGGAGAACAAUGGUGAUUUGGUGCUUUUUUCGGAUAGGAGGGAGGAAUGAACCCAUGGGUUCUUCUUCUUCUUCUUCUUCUUUUUUAAAUCCAUAGAUUACAAAUUUCCAAUGCAGGAAAAAUGCGGCCAACGGCAUCACCAGAGCGUAGAAAACUGCGGGUAGGAAGACCACGCCUAUAGGAUAGGCCAUGCCCUGCCAAACAGGACAUCGUGAUUGGUCCGUGAAAUCACUGUUGAAGAAUUUCCCUCCAGAAAAACAUUUGAAGCUGUGGCAAAACAGCUUGCUGCAAGCGGUAUCUCUCUUAUGAUAACCAAGCACACACCCUAUGACUGUUUCACUGCUGUGUCUUGACAGACUUGUUCAUCAUGUGCAAAACCUCGAGGAGGAACUUAAGCAUCUUAGGAAAUUAGUUCAGAUUAAAUAACACUUGUCGACCAAGGACAGCUACAAAGAUGCAGGCCGGC